Molecule: ribosomal RNA, 253 nt
Filed under: uncultured bacterium
Lineage: Bacteria
Description: partial 16S ribosomal RNA
Rfam family: Bacterial small subunit ribosomal RNA
Source: RNAcentral
UACGAAGGGGGCUAGCGUUGUUCGGAAUUACUGGGCGUAAAGCGCGCGCAGGCGGUCUUCCAAGUCAGUGGUGAAAGCCCGGAGCUCAACUCCGGAAUUGCCAUUGAAACUGUGAGACUGGAGUACGAGAGAGGUGAGUGGAAUUCCCAGUGUAGAGGUGAAAUUCGUAGAUAUUGGGAGGAACACCGGUGGCGAAGGCGGCUCACUGGCUCGUAACUGACGCUCAGGCGCGACAGCGUGGGGAUCAAACAGG